GACGAACGCUGGCGGCGUGCUUAACACAUGCAAGUCGAACGGAAAGGCCCUGCUUUUGUGGGGUGUUCGAGUGGCGAACGGGUGAGUAACACGUGAGUAACCUGCCCUUGACUUUGGGAUAACUUCAGGAAACUGGGGCUAAUACCGGAUAGGAGCUCCUGCUGCAUGGUGGGGGUUGGAAAGUUUCGGCGGUUGGGGAUGGACUCGCGGCUUAUCAGCUUGUUGGUGGGGUAGUGGCUUACCAAGGCUUUGACGGGUAGCCGGCCUGAGAGGGUGACCGGCCACAUUGGGACUGAGAUACGGCCCAGACUCCUACGGGAGGCAGCAGUGGGGAAUAUUGCACAAUGGGCGGAAGCCUGAUGCAGCAACGCCACGUGCGGGAUGACGGCCUUCGGGUUGUAAACCGCUUUCGCCUGUGACGAAGCGUGAGUGACGGUAAUGGGUAAAGAAGCACCGGCUAACUACGUG
This 468-nucleotide ribosomal RNA is filed under the name uncultured bacterium. Its description in RNAcentral is "partial 16S ribosomal RNA". It matches the Rfam family "Bacterial small subunit ribosomal RNA", at positions 28 to 507 of the family's 1533-position model. The record is from RNAcentral.